UACGUAGGGUGCAAGCGUUAAUCGGAAUUACUGGGCGUAAAGCGUGCGCAGGCGGUUAUGUAAGACAGAUGUGAAAGCCCCGGGCUUAACCUGGGAACUGCAUUUGUGACUGCAAGGCUGGAGUGCGGCAGAGGGGGAUGGAAUUCCGCGUGUAGCAGUGAAAUGCGUAGAUAUGCGGAGGAACACCGAUGGCGAAGGCGGCUCGCUGGGCCAUACCUGACGCUGAGACGCGAAAGCGUGGGGAGCAAACAGG
Molecule: ribosomal RNA, 253 nt
Filed under: uncultured bacterium
Lineage: Bacteria
Description: partial 16S ribosomal RNA
Rfam family: Bacterial small subunit ribosomal RNA
Source: RNAcentral